AUUGAACGCUGGCGGCAUGCCUUACACAUGCAAGUCGAACGGUAACAGGUCUUCGGAUGCUGACGAGUGGCGAACGGGUGAGUAAUGUAUCGGAACGUGCCCAGUUGUGGGGGAUAACUGCUCGAAAGAGCAGCUAAUACCGCAUACGACCUGAGGGUGAAAGCGGGGGAUCGCAAGACCUCGCGCAGUUGGAGCGGCCGAUAUCAGAUUAGGUAGUUGGUGGGGUAAAGGCUCACCAAGCCAACGAUCUGUAGCUGGUCCGAGAGGACGACCAGCCACGCGGGGACUGAGACACGGCCCAGGCUCCUACGGGAGGCAGCAGUGGGGGAUUUUGGACAAUGGGGGCAACCCUGAUCCAGCCAUGCCGCGGGCGGGAAGAAGGCCUUCGGGUUGUAAACCGCUUUUGUCAGGGAAGAAAAGACUCCUGUUAAUACCGGGGGUUCAUGACGGUACCUGAAGAAUAAGCACCGGCUAACUACGUGCCAGCCGCCGCCGUAA
RNAcentral lists this ribosomal RNA (498 nucleotides) under uncultured bacterium. Its description in RNAcentral is "partial 16S ribosomal RNA". It matches the Rfam family "Bacterial small subunit ribosomal RNA", at positions 29 to 523 of the family's 1533-position model. The record is from RNAcentral.